AACAUCCACAUUUUGGCGCCGUCUGUGGGGACGGAGGAUUCUUGAGUCGUCAGAUUUCUUCUGUGUAUUACAUAACCGAAGUAAGCCGCAAUGUAUGGAGAGGAUGCUACCAACGCUUCGAUAGCCGAAACCCUCAAGACCAUGCAACAAACUAUGGGAUAUGGCGCAGAAGUUUUCAAACGUGGAAAAAACCGUCGAAACACUGCAAACAACCCAGGUAUCGCUUAGCCAAAAUGUUAGUACCAUUCCGUCUCAUGUCCGUUCUUUAAAUGCGGGAAAUUCUACUAGAGUUCGAAGGACUAUCUUCGGAUCCCCAAACUCCCUUCCACGAAAUGCAACAAGCGAUCAAACGACCCUGGAUGGUACAAACGCGAAUAGUCAACCGGAAUAUGGAGAAACGCAUCCUAAAGAUGAUAACCAGUUCGAUGAUCAGCACGAGCAAGAAAACUUUGAUCAGCUCGAAACCAUGAGAGAAGUAAGUCGGGAACUCAAAGAAAUGAGGUCGAAAUUCCAUCAAGCUACAAGUUCGGAGCCAGACAUCAACCAAGUUAUCGAGGAGGCUAGGCGAACACCGUUCACCCGCGAAUUGCGAGUUUGAGAAUCAGAGAUUAUCAAAAACUCAACUUAGAACCAUAUAAUGGUUUGGAAGACCCGAAAGGCUAUCUCGCAGCUUUUCUAAUAGCCGCUGGGCGAGUUGAUCUAAACGAAGCCGAUGAAGACGCAGGGUAUUGCAAGCUUUUCUCUAAAAAUCUAUGUGGGCUAGCCCUGAUGUGGUUCACUCAGUUGGAACCAGGAUCGAUUAGAAAUUUCAACGAACUAUCGGCAGUAUUUUUAAAACAAUACUCAAUUCUGAUGGAUAAGAGCAUUUCGAUACCGACCUCUGGAAUCUAUCUCAAGGGCCGAAUGAGACACUUCGGGCUUU
RNAcentral lists this small RNA (922 nucleotides) under Arabidopsis thaliana (thale cress). Its description in RNAcentral is "ATSL264200". The record is from RNAcentral. Lineage: Eukaryota; Viridiplantae; Streptophyta; Magnoliopsida; Brassicales; Brassicaceae.